GAGCCUUAAAACUAUUCCCCAAUACAUGAUCUAUCAUAUUCCCCUCUUGUAAAAUGAUGUUACCUGAUCGCAAAAACGAAGGCGUCAACGAAUCUCAUGAAUUUACAUAGAUAUGCGCCUCCACGCCAUUCCAAAGUCACCAGCCACCCAAUUAAUCCAGGCACGUAUAGACCAAGAACCUGAAAAAAUUGAUUUUUGUAUUUCUGAUUCAUAUAUGUACAUAUGUUUUGAAUAGUUUUAAAAACAAUAUAAAAAUAGUGUGCAGAAAUAUGUUACAGUUGCAUGUUCGACUUGGCAAUUUUUCGUAUCUACGAUAUACUACAAUAAUUAACUACAAAAGUGUAGAGGAAGAGAUGGCAACCGAGCUGUAAGAUGCCAAAGUUUGAGCAAUGGAGAAAAUACGGUUGAUAUGGAGAAGAAGUAGGAAUGACUUUGCAUGUCGAUACCGUUUUAGCAUGUAUAUCAAAGUUGAGAUAUUCACUGGAAGUCCGAUUAGCGCGAAAAUUCCAUAAAGGAGCAUCUGAGCAUAGUCCGAUGGUACAUGUCCAAGUGUCUCUUGAUUUGAAAUUUCAUCUAAUGGAUUGAUGAACGGUGGUGUUGAGUUGG
Non-coding RNA from Caenorhabditis elegans, 606 nucleotides. Ensembl annotates it as ncRNA. Its record names the gene C15H11.16. Lineage: Eukaryota; Metazoa; Nematoda; Chromadorea; Rhabditida; Rhabditidae. The record is from Ensembl.